Sardina pilchardus (European sardine) is the source of this 1768-nucleotide long non-coding RNA. RefSeq lists it as uncharacterized. The record is from RefSeq and is a predicted model, not a curated record. The transcript has 3 exons. Lineage: Eukaryota; Metazoa; Chordata; Actinopteri; Clupeiformes; Clupeidae.
AACAUUAGUGGAAGCGAAUUGUUGACAAAGACGCAACGCGAACAGAAUGCGCACGCCAAGUAGCCUAUAGCCUCUGUUGUGAGCGCAGAUAGAUGCGUCUGAGAUGUCCAUAGACCUAAAAGAAAUGGACAAACAGACUCCGUCGUUCUCAAUGAGAGGGGGCUGAAACAAAAAAUCGUUUCCUGUUCAUCGUACUGCGCAGACUCAAACUCAUUUUGUGACGUUGGCCGCCCUGAACAUUGCUGUAACUCGUCUGAUAGAUGUUCAUACAGAUAUUUUGCCAUUCGACCUCGACUGACUGCGAUUUCUUGGAUCUUGUAAGUACAAUCUGAUUCUUUUUUAAACAUAUUUUUAGUCUUUGUCUGAAUCACUCAUUUCUUGCAAAAUGGUAUUUCUGUACUGUUAAGUCGAUGAUCACGUUUUUAAAAACCUAUAUCGAAUAGAUUAAUAAAGCGUUAGACUCGCUAAAGUCUAGCUAUGGCUAAAGUCUGAAGUGGAUAGCAAAAGAAAACCGUUAGAGGCAGACAGGCUAACUUUUUACUGUUCAUUAUAGUUUCACUAACGUCAAUCGUAAUGUCGACCGUCAGUAUUUAUCAGUAUUUAUCAGUAGAUUGUAAAUUAUUAGAAGUGUUAUAUCCUUUAGUAGUGUUUGUACUCUAGGCGCCAGUUAGCAUGUAACAGCAUGUGAAUGAAUGAACUGGCCACACUAGCAUGGUGCAUUUAUACCUGACGAUCUCUUUCAAGACAUUUGAAUAAAAAACGGACAUCAUGGUUAGUAUUUAUAGGGUCUGUACAUGUGGUCCCUAGCCUGGUUUGUCUGAGAAUUAAGUAGAAAUAUCCUUUAGAAGUGUUUGUACUUUAGGCGCUAGUUAGCAUGUAACAGCAUCUGAAUGAAUGAACUGACCACUACUGUAUGGUGCAUUUAUACCUGACGAUCUCUUUCAAGUCAUUUAAAUAAAACAUGGAUAUCAUGGUUAGUAUUUGUAGAGUCUGUAAAUGUGGCCCCUUGCUUGGUUUGUCUGAAAAUUAAGUGGAAAUAUCCUUUAGAAGUGUUUGUACUUUAGGCGCUAGUUAGCAUGUGCCAGGUGUCAUACCAUUGCAGUAAUCAUCUCACUAAACACGUCUUUUCAUAUCCAAUCUGUUCAACAGAGUUUACCAGUCAGACCACUACACCUUUGCCAGCACCACCACCCAGCAAGCUUCAUCAACUCCAGCCAUGCCGAUUUUUACAGACUUGUUCUGCAGCACUUCCGAACAAUUGAGGAGGAGCUGGGGUAAAGCAGCAGGUGGCUGUGAACACAUCUAUGCUGCAGAAGCUAGGUGGUGGUGGUGUGGCGGAUCUUGGCCUCGUGGAGGACAACAACAGGCCAUUGAGUAAUGUUGAGGACCUGGACGAGUUGGAGAGGCGGCUUGCAUCCGAUGCGGACCUGAAAAAUCAACUGGUGAACAUACUUGGGAGGGAAAACCACCGAGAUGCUGUUAAGAGGAUGCUGGGCCGGGCUUUGAGGAGGUCCCUGGCGCUCCAAAUUAAUUAGACUGGUGCAGCAGGAAAGGUGGCUUUUAAGUCCUUACACCUGAAGAGUGUGUUGCAUAUUAAUAUCAUUAUUAAAAAUAAUUUUAAUAAAUUGUUUAAGCAUGUAGAAGAAAUAAAGCAUGUAAAUGAGCAUGUAAAAGAAAUAAAUAAACAAAAUGUAUUGAACCUAAUACUAUGUGUGGUGAGUCUGUGUGAUAGUUGCUGAGGAUAAAUGUUUUUAUAUUGGAUUAUUAA